Long non-coding RNA from Etheostoma cragini (Arkansas darter), 1929 nucleotides. RefSeq lists it as uncharacterized. NCBI's taxonomy places the organism in Eukaryota, Metazoa, Chordata, Actinopteri, Perciformes, Percidae. The record is from RefSeq and is a predicted model, not a curated record. The transcript has 2 exons.
UUGCCGGUAUUGUCGAUAUUGAACCUGUAUUUGCUUGGUAUCUGAUCAAUACCAGAUAUUGCAGUAUUGCACACCAAUACUUAACAACGCUGUGCUCCCACCGAACGUACUUGUGUGCGGGAGCAGGCAGUGGACCAAACCACUGUGGAAGGGGAGGGGGGGCUCAAGAUGUUUUAAAACUGCAUUGUUUUACUACCUACACAGUUAUUUUAUUUACAUAAUAUUACAUUAUUUACAAUACACACAGCAUGUUUUUUUAUUCAUUUUUAGGAUAUAUAUUUAUUUACUAUGCUCAUUCCUUUUUUUAAAAGAACCCAAGAUAGAUACAUAGAUAGAUAAUGACUUCAAUCAUCCCGUGGGAAAUUCUAGGCAUCCAGUAGCUUAGACAAUCAUAACACAACAAACACAUACACACAUAUAUCUGACAUACAUAAAAAUCAGUCACAGAAAUUUACAGAGUUAAAGGUGCUAAGGUAGACUGUAUCUUAAAAACAAAAGGCUGCUUUCUUUUUAGAACAUGUUAUAAAGUCUCUCAUGUUAUCAGAAGCUCAGUUGUGUAACUAGGAACACCUUCCUAAUUAUGCUGAAAAUGAGUUAGUGUUUGCCGUGAAAACGCUUGAAAGGCUCGUAAUAUCCUUACUCCUCGGUGUCAUUACAGAAAAAAGUAUCUUCCCCUAUACGUGCUUUAACAGUUCCAGUGGAUUUGAUGUUAAAAUGAGAAGUGUUUUUCUGUCGUACCAGUAUACUACAUGUUUGCUAAUGGGCGCUUCGUGCAUCGAGUGUGCAGUUGUUUGAAGAUUGUCGCUGGUGUUGUCUUUAGCUUUGCUAUACCUCCAAAAAUGAUAAGCAGGGACCAAAUUAUUCUCCACAGCUUUGUUAUGGUCUUUAUUACUAUGUCUUGUGAGAUAUUUACAGCCUAUUAUAAAUAUAUAUAAACUUGUAGAGUUUGCAAUACAGUCAGGCAGAGACUUUCUUUCAAAAUGGAUUCAACAUAUUAUUAGCAAAGAUAAAUAAUAAUCAUGAUAGGUAUUUUUUUAUUUACACAACAUUCCAUGAUUGGCUUACUGGCCUGUGGGUAAGGAAGCCAUCCACACACACAUUUAAGCCUAGGGAUUCACUACAUGCAAUACUAGAUUACUGUGUGUGUGUGUGUGUGUGUGUGUGUUUCAGGGAAAGACAUUAGCACAUUAACCUGUGCUAUUAUAUUCCUCAUACUGCUCUCACAGAGCGUCGAGUGUUAGUGGUGGUGCACAUGCAGGGAAAACAGAACAUAAUAAAACUGCAGCUGUGCCUCAUCUGUCAGUGUCCAUGGUGACGGAUGACUUCUACAGUGUAGAGCAGCGGGUGGGACUUCAUUUGAAGUGUCCCUCAGCUUAGCAAUGGGCCAUAAUGUCUUCAUUUGACCAUUUAACACAGAUGGACAAUCCACCUGAAACAGCUGCUACAGAAAAAGAUGUAUUUAUUUUUGAAUGCUUCUAAAUGUCUUGUCAUUAAAUAUUGUAUUUAUCCUCCAAUGUUAUGGAUCAUUUUAUUCUAAUGUAAGACAGUGCAUUUUGUUUAAUAUUAUGCUCUCUAGCUAUUUGUUCUGUCUUAUAAAAACGUGUCUGACUAACAUUUGAAUGUACAGUGUGUCCGUCUGUGUGAUGAAGUUGCAAUCAAACAGUGGUUUGGAGAUGUGUCUGACGGUGAAGCAGAUCAACCUCACAGCUGAUCCUGGUAUCAACACACAAGCCAUGAAAUGCAUAAAGUGGGGACACACCCCUGUAACGUAAAUUUCACAUUCUAACCACAAAAUCCUCCUGAAUGUCACUGAUAUCAGUCCAAACCGACUGAAUUGUUCUUUAAUUUGAACCUUUCUGUCUGUCUGUUUUCACAAUUCUGUAUCCUGUGUGUGAAAAAACAUAUAUUCUGAAAAUAAAAAUGUCGUCA